CCGAAAGAACCACAGUCGUCCUCUCUUGAUGAUCUGGAGAGCUGCUGGAAGCCUUCACGCACCUGUAGCGAAGAAUGUCAGGAUGAUGCUUCCCACCAGCCCUUCAACUUUGGAAUUUGAACCUCUGGGGGAAAAAGCAAGAAGUCAUCUGUUUUAAGUCUCUACCAGGGACUUUAACCAAAAUAAAUCCAAUCCAACCCCACCCCAAACACUCAUGGGACAGGCUGCAACUUCUCUCUUCUCAAGAGCUCCUCCGGAUAUUCCAGUCGGCUGCCCCCGUGUUCUUGAAGGUACGCAAGCAUGUAAAGGGAAUAUCAGAGGAAAAAGAAAAAGAAUAAAAUUCCGCUUAAUACCGUAGCAGGACGUAGAAUUGGAGAAGAAGGAUGGCAGUCCCAAGGGCAAAAAUCACGAGUUGCCUGGCGAAAAGAACAAAGAAAUAAAAAAUGAGAGAGA
This is a non-coding RNA of Pantherophis guttatus, 453 nucleotides long. NCBI's taxonomy places the organism in Eukaryota, Metazoa, Chordata, Lepidosauria, Squamata, Colubridae. The record is from RefSeq and is a predicted model, not a curated record.